UACGAAGGCCCCAAGCAUUAUCCGGAUUUACUGGGUGUAAAGGGUCUGUAGACGGCUUAAUAAGUUAACCGUAAAAUCUUCUAGCUCAACUAGAAGUUUGCGAUUAAUACUAUUAGGCUAGAGGUCGGGGGAAGCAAGUGGAAUUGGUGGUGUAGUCGUAAUAAGCGUUAAUAUCACCAGGAACACCGAAAGCGAAAGCAGCUUGCUAAAACGAUCCUGACGUUGAGAGACGAAAGCGUGGGGAGCGAUACGG
RNAcentral lists this ribosomal RNA (253 nucleotides) under uncultured bacterium. Its description in RNAcentral is "partial 16S ribosomal RNA". It matches the Rfam family "Bacterial small subunit ribosomal RNA", at positions 524 to 776 of the family's 1533-position model. The record is from RNAcentral.